This 490-nucleotide ribosomal RNA is filed under the name uncultured bacterium. RNAcentral describes it as "partial 16S ribosomal RNA". It matches the Rfam family "Bacterial small subunit ribosomal RNA", at positions 30 to 507 of the family's 1533-position model. The record is from RNAcentral.
AUUGAACGCUGGCGGCAGGCCUAACACAUGCAAGUCGAACGGUAACAGGAAGAAGCUUGCUUCUUUGCUGACGAGUGGCGGACGGGUGAGUAAUGUCUGGGAAACUGCCUGAUGGAGGGGGAUAACUACUGGAAACGGUAGCUAAUACCGCAUAACGUCUCAAGACUAAAGAGGGGGACCUUCGGGCCUCUUGCCAUCGGAUGUUCCCCGAUGGGAUUAGCUAGUAGGUGGGGUAACGGCUCACCUAGUCGACGAUCCCUAGCUGGUCUGAGAGGAUGACCAGCCACACUGGAACUGAGACACGGUCCAGACUCCUACGGGAGGCAGCAGUGGGGAAUAUUGCACAAUGGGCGCAAGCCUGAUGCAGCCAUGCCGCGUGUAUGAAGAAGGCCUUCGGGUUGUAAAGUACUUUCAGCGGGGAGGAAGGGAGUAAAGUUAAUACCUUUGCUCAUUGACGUUACCCGCAGAAGAAGCACCGGCUAACUCCGUG